Molecule: RNA transcript, 2220 nt
Organism: Rattus rattus (black rat)
Lineage: Eukaryota; Metazoa; Chordata; Mammalia; Rodentia; Muridae
Gene: Arih2
Gene name: ariadne RBR E3 ubiquitin protein ligase 2
Exons: 16
Source: RefSeq, a predicted model, not a curated record
ACCCGCGUCCGCCGGCCGCCUCCGCUGCCGCUUCGCCUCAGUCAGAUUCUUUUGGUCCGGCUUGACCUGGCCUGGCCGGCCUGAGCUCUGCGGCCGCGAGGUCGCGGCUCCCGAUGGAAAUCCUAUGACACAGACAAUUUGGGUGAUACCUGCAGGAAAGAGCUUUAAACAUUACAGAAGACAAAAAACACUAAUGCAUUUGAGAAAACGAUAAAAGUUGGGGGGGAGGAGAAAAAGCAACUGCUUUCCUGAUCUGCAACUUGACUGGAUGUUAAGAUGUCCGUGGACAUGAACAGCCAAGGGUCUGACAGCAAUGAAGAGGACUAUGACCCAAAUUGUGAGGAAGAGGAAGAAGAGGAAGAGGACCCUGGGGACAUAGAGGACUACUAUGUGGGAGUAGCCAGCGAUGUGGAGCAGCAGGGGGCUGAUGCUUUUGAUCCCGAAGAGUAUCAAUUCACUUGCUUGACCUAUAAGGAGUCUGAGGGCGCCCUCCAUGAGCAUAUGACCAGCUUAGCCUCUGCCUUAAAGGUAUCUCAUUCAGUUGCAAAGCUUAUAUUAGUUAAUUUCCACUGGCAAGUCUCAGAGAUUCUGGACAGGUACAGGUCUAAUUCUGCUCAGCUGCUUGUUGAGGCGCGAGUCCAACCUAAUCUAUCCAAACACGUCCCCACAGCCCACCCCCCUCACCACUGUGCAGUGUGUAUGCAGUUUGUGCGGAAGGAAAAUCUGCUCUGUCUGACCUGCCAGCAUCAGUUUUGCCGAAGCUGUUGGGAGCAGCAUUGCUCAGUCCUCGUCAAAGAUGGUGUCGGUGUAGGAAUCUCAUGUAUGGCUCAGGAUUGUCCACUUCGAACACCAGAGGACUUUGUGUUUCCCUUGCUUCCCAACGAAGAGUUGAGAGAUAAAUACAGGCGCUACCUCUUUAGGGACUAUGUGGAGAGUCAUUACCAGCUCCAGCUAUGCCCUGGUGCAGACUGCCCCAUGGUUAUUCGGGUACAGGAGCCGAGAGCUCGCCGAGUGCAGUGCAAUCGGUGCAACGAGGUCUUCUGUUUCAAGUGUCGACAGAUGUAUCACGCCCCCACAGACUGCGCCACAAUCCGGAAAUGGCUCACCAAGUGUGCGGAUGACUCCGAAACAGCUAACUACAUUAGUGCUCACACUAAAGACUGUCCCAAGUGCAACAUCUGUAUCGAGAAGAAUGGAGGCUGCAAUCACAUGCAAUGCUCCAAGUGUAAGCAUGACUUCUGCUGGAUGUGUCUAGGAGACUGGAAGACGCAUGGUAGUGAGUACUAUGAAUGUAGUCGGUACAAGGAGAAUCCUGACAUUGUCAACCAGAGCCAGCAAGCACAGGCCAGGGAAGCCCUCAAGAAGUACUUGUUCUACUUUGAGAGGUGGGAAAAUCACAACAAAAGCUUGCAGCUGGAGGCACAAACAUACCAGCGGAUUCACGAGAAGAUUCAAGAGAGGGUUAUGAACAAUCUGGGAACGUGGAUUGACUGGCAGUACCUGCAGAAUGCCGCCAAGCUGUUGGCCAAGUGUCGAUACACCCUGCAAUAUACCUAUCCAUAUGCAUACUACAUGGAAUCCGGUCCCAGGAAGAAGCUGGCCCUGCCCGGCUACAGCCCUCUCUCCUUUUGACCCUCCUGCUCUGCCCAUACAGUUUGAAUACCAGCAGGCUCAGCUGGAGGCUGAGAUCGAAAACCUUUCAUGGAAAGUUGAGCGUGCAGACAGCUAUGACAGAGGGGACUUGGAAAACCAGAUGCACAUAGCAGAGCAGCGGAGAAGAACCCUGCUAAAGGAUUUUCACGACACCUAAACCAGGCUGUGGACGUGCCGGGGUGAGGAAGAUGUAGCUGUGAGGCCACCCGGCUACCGAACUGCAUGCUGCAGGCUCUGCCUUUCACGACCCAGGCAACAGCCAGGGCCCCACUCCUGAAAGACACUGGCAACACACCUCUUAGUCCAUUUGUUUUCUUCUCAUCUUUUUGCUUUUUGUUUCUACCAGGGAAGAGGCCAUGUUGAGCUGGCCUCUAGUGAGGACUUUAAAUUUCCCCUGGAUGGUUGUUGGGCGGGAGGGAACUUUUUUUCUGAAUGGCUAUUAAUAGUAUUAGAUCAUUACAACUUAUGUAAUUUUCAAAGGUUGUACGAUUAUAAAGAAAAGAGGCAAACCAUAGGUAACACGGAGCCCGUCUAAAAUAAAUUGGCUUUGGAGUGCUUCACCCUUUA